UCCCCCAUUCUCUUCCAGGUACACCCUGCACCCGUCGUUGACAAAUGGCGCCCAACAUGGGGCUGUUUGGAGGUCUCCUGGAGGAGAACGUCGUCCCCCAUGAAUAGGCAAGCCUGUCUUCCUUGUUUGUUGGAGCCUUUGCUCCCCCUCAGAGCUUUUGCCCCACCCCCCAGAGCUUUUGCUCCCCGGCUUCUGGCAACCAUGGACCGCCGGACCUUGGUUCAGAGGCUUGGUGCGUGUUUCUCCCCGGACGAUGCAGAUCUCAGUGUGGUCACUUUGUCAAUCUGUGCUCUGUGGGUGGCGCUCCUGAUGUAAGGCCAUAACAUUUUAGUGCAUCAACUGGGAACUGUGCUCCCCCUAGACUACAGUUGGUGAAGAGAUCAGAGAUUCCUGUUGUGAAG
This 401-nucleotide small RNA is filed under the name Rattus norvegicus (Norway rat). RNAcentral's name for it is "uncharacterized LOC108352213". The record is from RNAcentral. Lineage: Eukaryota; Metazoa; Chordata; Mammalia; Rodentia; Muridae.